AAACGUCGGCACAGGAUCUGAUACCCUUGGUUGUAGUUCGAGGUGCCCAUUUCAGAUCCCGGCCUGGCGUCCUUAGCAGUCUGCUACUAGUCGGUGAGGUGCAUCUGAAACCAUCGAGACGUUCGUCAAAUCUUGUGCAAAUCAAUUUUAGUCAGAUCAAGAAGAGCCCUUUGCAAAUGUUAAACCUAACUCGUGCUCACUUCUCUGGCCUUAGCGCGAUGCACUCUGCAGUGUGGAAAUUGCAUGCACCUUUCAUGUGUAUUUGAUGCCAGUCCGUCCUUCCCCAGGAUCUACCCCGUUCAGGCACCCACCCUAUUGGAUGGACAAAAACAAUGACCAAACGGAGAAAAGCUGUGUAUUGUUUCCUGUGUUGCUUGCCUGUUGGUGGUGGCUCCAACCAGGUGCCAAGGUCCGAUGGUCGUGGAGAGGAGAUUGGUGGUGAUGGGUUGUGUGUUGAGAUUUUUACAAUUUAGCAAAGAGUGUACAAGGAUGCUGUUGCGGCGGCCACCAGGGUUUUUUUUUGCAUCCGAAAGGUCCAUAC
Anopheles stephensi (Asian malaria mosquito) is the source of this 541-nucleotide long non-coding RNA. RefSeq lists it as uncharacterized. The record is from RefSeq and is a predicted model, not a curated record. Lineage: Eukaryota; Metazoa; Arthropoda; Insecta; Diptera; Culicidae. The transcript is spliced from 3 exons.